ACUCAUCUUCUUCAAUGGGAUCUCUCAGUUCUUGAGGGAGAUCUCAAUGAUAUUAUUUUUAUGAUUUUUCCUCCUUUUCUGUUUCUCAUGAUUUGGUGUUUUCUCUCAUCUUUUUGAUGUGUUUUCAUUUUUGUUGAUUUUGAUUUAGCUUAUUGUUUGUUUAUUUUAGGGUUUGUUGCUGUUUGUCACAUGAACAUGCAUGUAGAUGGAAUCUUUCUUUGGAGAUUUGAUGUAAUUCGGAUAGGAUAGUUCUGUGGACUGAAGCUUUGCAUGACAACGAGAGAGAGCACGCCUGUCUGCACUCAUGAAAUGGACAUGAUUGUGUACAAGAGUGCUUUCUCUCGGUGUCAUAUGAUCUUGUAAUCUGCAGAGAAUGCAAUCUUUAUGCAAGUCUUCCUGCUGUCAGUGAUGAGCAUGAAAUAAUGGACAAUUAAUGGAGGGAAGUUCUGAGUUUGUUACUCAACUUUCGACUUGUUAUUUAGUGUACCGCCUGUGUUUGAAGUGUACCGCAUGUGUUUGAUGGUUUGCAUAUGCACUUCAUAUAUUUUACGUUCAUCACUUGGUUCCCACUUACUAUAAGUUAUUUUUAUUUACCGCCCAUUUUUUGUCAAUCAUGUCAUUUGUUAUUACUUGUUCAAACUUCAUGCACAGUUAAUUGCUUAUAUGGGAGAAUUGGAGGGAGCUUCGCCCAUAUCUUUGCUAUAUAUCCUCUAAGCAUUGAUGUGAUAAGAGUUUCUCCCAAGAAAAAUGAAGUGUUCCGUUUACCUAUCUAAGCUUGCCAUGAGCUAAUUUAAAGAAGUCAUCUUGGUUACUGUCUCUGUGUUCCUGAUGUGAUAAAGAGGCUACACUAAUAACCUUGUAGUCUUUGGUGCUGGCACAAAAGGUUUAACUAGAUCUGCAUAUCCAGAGAUGGAGUGUCAUGAAAAGAAGUCAGUGUGAUGAAUAUUUUGCUCCUUCUGAUGUUGGAUAGUCAUACAUUACGAUUUUGUGCGAAACUGUUUUGUGAUGGAGGCCUGGCAUCAUGUUUAAUUAUUUUCUUUGAACCAAAAGUACUGAAUUGAUAACUUGAGCAUUGAUGGAGUCUUGGAAGGUCUUGAUUGUGAAAUGUGCUCAUGUCUGUCUUAUGUGUAAACCCCGGUGAUUGAGUAGAUAAAAUAAAUAAAUAGAGUGCUUAUAUAUCUUGGAAUUGCACGAGACAAACUUGCAUAGACAUUUACUUGAAAUUGGAGCUAGGUAUCAUAGAACAGGAUGUAAUUGCCCACCCAAAAGUGGAUAAAGUUUUCUUCUGAUUUCUUUCAAUUUUGAUCUAAAUCUGGUCAGUUAUGGAGCACUCAUAUGAUUCUAAAAUUAGAGUCAAUUUUUUUUUGUUUCUUUUUGCAGGCUGAUGAGUUAGCUUUGUUGACUAAAGCUAUGAUUGACAAUGAGAGAGAGCACUUUUGUCUGCAAUCAUACAAAGGACGUGGUUCCAUACAGGAGUGCUCUCUCUUAGUGUCAUUCGAUCUCGAUACAAGUGAAGCAUGGAAUGCUUAAUGCAUAUCUUCUCUUAUUGAUAAUGAAAUGCUGGCAAGAAGUUAGGGUGAUGAGUUAGCUUUGUUGAUUAACACUUUGCUUGACAACGAGAGAGAGCACUUUUGUCCGCACUCAUACAUAGGCCAUGGUUGUGUACAAGAGUGCUCUCCCUUGGUGUCAUUCGAUCUCGAUACCAGUGAAGUCUUCUCUCAUUGAUCAUGAAGUGCUGGCAAGAAGGCGGAUUAGGUUUAUAUAUUGCACAGCGGCACAGUUGGGCUGCUAGAAUCAUUACUUGGUAUUCUGGUGCUGUGAACUGUGAGAGCUGGAUUCCCAGAAACUUGCAGAUGUUGGAACUUGGAAGUCAUAUUCGUACUAUUUGAAUAUGGUUUAGAUUGUGGGAAAAAAGAAUAGCGAACUUGAUAUGAUCAGUGGGAAAAAAGAACGAAAAAGGAACAAAGGGGGUUUAAUUUUCUUGAUUCAUGUAAUUUGACAUUUCUCUUGGACUCUGUUGGAACUGUGUAAAGACAUGGCCUGGCCAAUAUUUGCCAGUAAAACUCGUCUACUGAUAGUCUGAUACAAUACACAACAUUUCUUCAAAAUUAUUUCC
Papaver somniferum (opium poppy) is the source of this 2116-nucleotide long non-coding RNA. RefSeq lists it as uncharacterized. The transcript is spliced from 4 exons. Lineage: Eukaryota; Viridiplantae; Streptophyta; Magnoliopsida; Ranunculales; Papaveraceae. The record is from RefSeq and is a predicted model, not a curated record.